This 2416-nucleotide ribosomal RNA is filed under the name Escherichia coli. RNAcentral describes it as "partial 23S ribosomal RNA". It matches the Rfam family "Bacterial large subunit ribosomal RNA", at positions 447 to 2843 of the family's 2925-position model. The record is from RNAcentral. Lineage: Bacteria; Pseudomonadati; Pseudomonadota; Gammaproteobacteria; Enterobacterales; Enterobacteriaceae.
GGGGGACCAUCCUCCAAGGCUAAAUACUCCUGACUGACCGAUAGUGAACCAGUACCGUGAGGGAAAGGCGAAAAGAACCCCGGCGAGGGGAGUGAAAAAGAACCUGAAACCGUGUACGUACAAGCAGUGGGAGCACGCUUAGGCGUGUGACUGCGUACCUUUUGUAUAAUGGGUCAGCGACUUAUAUUCUGUAGCAAGGUUAACCGAAUAGGGGAGCCGAAGGGAAACCGAGUCUUAACUGGGCGUUAAGUUGCAGGGUAUAGACCCGAAACCCGGUGAUCUAGCCAUGGGCAGGUUGAAGGUUGGGUAACACUAACUGGAGGACCGAACCGACUAAUGUUGAAAAAUUAGCGGAUGACUUGUGGCUGGGGGUGAAAGGCCAAUCAAACCGGGAGAUAGCUGGUUCUCCCCGAAAGCUAUUUAGGUAGCGCCUCGUGAAUUCAUCUCCGGGGGUAGAGCACUGUUUCGGCAAGGGGGUCAUCCCGACUUACCAACCCGAUGCAAACUGCGAAUACCGGAGAAUGUUAUCACGGGAGACACACGGCGGGUGCUAACGUCCGUCGUGAAGAGGGAAACAACCCAGACCGCCAGCUAAGGUCCCAAAGUCAUGGUUAAGUGGGAAACGAUGUGGGAAGGCCCAGACAGCCAGGAUGUUGGCUUAGAAGCAGCCAUCAUUUAAAGAAAGCGUAAUAGCUCACUGGUCGAGUCGGCCUGCGCGGAAGAUGUAACGGGGCUAAACCAUGCACCGAAGCUGCGGCAGCGACGCUGAUGCGUUGUUGGGUAGGGGAGCGUUCUGUAAGCCUGUGAAGGUGUGCUGUGAGGCAUGCUGGAGGUAUCAGAAGUGCGAAUGCUGACAUAAGUAACGAUAAAGCGGGUGAAAAGCCCGCUCGCCGGAAGACCAAGGGUUCCUGUCCAACGUUAAUCGGGGCAGGGUGAGUCGACCCCUAAGGCGAGGCCGAAAGGCGUAGUCGAUGGGAAACAGGUUAAUAUUCCUGUACUUGGUGUUACUGCGAAGGGGGGACGGAGAAGGCUAUGUUGGCCGGGCGACGGUUGUCCCGGUUUAAGCGUGUAGGCUGGUUUUCCAGGCAAAUCCGGAAAACUAAGGCUGAGGCGUGAUGACGAGGCACUACGGUGCUGAAGCAACAAAUGCCCUGCUUCCAGGAAAAGCCUCUAAGCAUCAGGUAACAUCAAAUCGUACCCCAAACCGACACAGGUGGUCAGGUAGAGAAUACCAAGGCGCUUGAGAGAACUCGGGUGAAGGAACUAGGCAAAAUGGUGCCGUAACUUCGGGAGAAGGCACGCUGAUAUGUAGGUGAAGUCCCUCGCGGAUGGAGCUGAAAUCAGUCGAAGAUACCAGCUGGCUGCAACUGUUUAUUAAAAACACAGCACUGUGCAAACACGAAAGUGGACGUAUACGGUGUGACGCCUGCCCGGUGCCGGAAGGUUAAUUGAUGGGGUCAGCGCAAGCGAAGCUCUUGAUCGAAGCCCCGGUAAACGGCGGCCGUAACUAUAACGGUCCUAAGGUAGCGAAAUUCCUUGUCGGGUAAGUUCCGACCUGCACGAAUGGCGUAAUGAUGGCCAGGCUGUCUCCACCCGAGACUCAGUGAAAUUGAACUCGCUGUGAAGAUGCAGUGUACCCGCGGCAAGACGGAAAGACCCCGUGAACCUUUACUAUAGCUUGACACUGAACAUUGAGCCUUGAUGUGUAGGAUAGGUGGGAGGCUUUGAAGUGUGGACGCCAGUCUGCAUGGAGCCGACCUUGAAAUACCACCCUUUAAUGUUUGAUGUUCUAACGUUGACCCGUAAUCCGGGUUGCGGACAGUGUCUGGUGGGUAGUUUGACUGGGGCGGUCUCCUCCUAAAGAGUAACGGAGGAGCACGAAGGUUGGCUAAUCCUGGUCGGACAUCAGGAGGUUAGUGCAAUGGCAUAAGCCAGCUUGACUGCGAGCGUGACGGCGCGAGCAGGUGCGAAAGCAGGUCAUAGUGAUCCGGUGGUUCUGAAUGGAAGGGCCAUCGCUCAACGGAUAAAAGGUACUCCGGGGAUAACAGGCUGAUACCGCCCAAGAGUUCAUAUCGACGGCGGUGUUUGGCACCUCGAUGUCGGCUCAUCACAUCCUGGGGCUGAAGUAGGUCCCAAGGGUAUGGCUGUUCGCCAUUUAAAGUGGUACGCGAGCUGGGUUUAGAACGUCGUGAGACAGUUCGGUCCCUAUCUGCCGUGGGCGCUGGAGAACUGAGGGGGGCUGCUCCUAGUACGAGAGGACCGGAGUGGACGCAUCACUGGUGUUCGGGUUGUCAUGCCAAUGGCACUGCCCGGUAGCUAAAUGCGGAAGAGAUAAGUGCUGAAAGCAUCUAAGCACGAAACUUGCCCCGAGAUGAGUUCUCCCUGACUCCUUGAGAGUCCUGAAGGAACGUUGAAG